This 114-nucleotide ribosomal RNA is filed under the name Pteropus alecto (black flying fox). The record is from RNAcentral. Lineage: Eukaryota; Metazoa; Chordata; Mammalia; Chiroptera; Pteropodidae.
GUCUACAGCCAUACCACCCUGAAUGUGCCCAAUCCUGUCUGAUCUCAGAAGCAGGAUUGGGCCUCGUUAGUACUUGGAUAGGAGACCACUUAGGAAUACCAGAUGCUGUAGGCA